AUAUUUAAGUUGCUGCAGUUAAAAAGCUCGUAGUUGGAUUUCGGAUGGGUUCCGUCGGUCCGCCGUUUCGGUGUGCACUGACGGCGCCUAUCUUGCUGUCGGGGACGGGCUCCUGGGCUUAACUGUCCGGGACUCGGAGUCGACGAGGUUACUUUGAGUAAAUUAGAGUGUUCAAAGCAGGCCUACGCUCUGAAUACAUUAGCAUGGAAUAACACGAUAGGACUCUGGCCUAUCUUGUUGGUCUGUAGGACCGGAGUAAUGAUUAAGAGGGACAGUCGGGGGCAUUCGUAUUUCAUUGUCA
This 301-nucleotide ribosomal RNA is filed under the name Ice core clone 63-6. Its description in RNAcentral is "SSU rRNA". It matches the Rfam family "Eukaryotic small subunit ribosomal RNA", at positions 601 to 907 of the family's 1831-position model. The record is from RNAcentral.